This 253-nucleotide ribosomal RNA is filed under the name uncultured bacterium. RNAcentral's name for it is "partial 16S ribosomal RNA". It matches the Rfam family "Bacterial small subunit ribosomal RNA", at positions 524 to 776 of the family's 1533-position model. The record is from RNAcentral.
UACGUAGGGUGCAAGCGUUGUCCGGAAUUAUUGGGCGUAAAGAGCUCGUAGGCGGUUUGUCGCGUCUGGUGUGAAAAUCCAGGGCUUAACCCUGGACCUGCAUCGGGUACGGGCAGACUAGAGUGCGGUAGGGGAGAUCGGAAUUCCUGGUGUAGCGGUGAAAUGCGCAGAUAUCAGGAGGAACACCGGUGGCGAAGGCGGAUCUUUGGGCCGUAACUGACGCUGAGGAGCGAAAGCAUGGGGAGCGAACAGG